GAUCAUGGCUCAGGAUAAACGCUGGCGGCGCACAUAAGACAUGCAAGUCGAACGGAAGUCGUUGUAGUGAUAUAGACAUGGACUGAGAACUUGUUCAAAGAAAGUGAAAGUUGACUUACAACAAUGGCUUUAGUGGCGGACUGGUGAGUAACACGUAAGCAACCUGCCUAUCAGAGGGGAACAACAGUUAGAAAUGACUGCUAAUACCGCAUAUGCCUAAGUAUCACA
Molecule: ribosomal RNA, 228 nt
Filed under: uncultured bacterium
Lineage: Bacteria
Description: partial 16S ribosomal RNA
Rfam family: Bacterial small subunit ribosomal RNA
Source: RNAcentral